Molecule: ribosomal RNA, 1538 nt
Filed under: Citrobacter farmeri
Lineage: Bacteria; Pseudomonadati; Pseudomonadota; Gammaproteobacteria; Enterobacterales; Enterobacteriaceae
Description: bacterial SSU rRNA
Rfam family: Bacterial small subunit ribosomal RNA
Source: RNAcentral
UUGAAGAGUUUGAUCAUGGCUCAGAUUGAACGCUGGCGGCAGGCCUAACACAUGCAAGUCGAACGGUAACAGGAAGCAGCUUGCUGCUUCGCUGACGAGUGGCGGACGGGUGAGUAAUGUCUGGGAAACUGCCCGAUGGAGGGGGAUAACUACUGGAAACGGUAGCUAAUACCGCAUAACGUCGCAAGACCAAAGAGGGGGACCUUCGGGCCUCUUGCCAUCGGAUGUGCCCAGAUGGGAUUAGCUUGUUGGUGAGGUAACGGCUCACCAAGGCGACGAUCCCUAGCUGGUCUGAGAGGAUGACCAGCCACACUGGAACUGAGACACGGUCCAGACUCCUACGGGAGGCAGCAGUGGGGAAUAUUGCACAAUGGGCGCAAGCCUGAUGCAGCCAUGCCGCGUGUAUGAAGAAGGCCUUCGGGUUGUAAAGUACUUUCAGCGGGGAGGAAGGGGUUAAGGUUAAUAACCUUAGCCAUUGACGUUACCCGCAGAAGAAGCACCGGCUAACUCCGUGCCAGCAGCCGCGGUAAUACGGAGGGUGCAAGCGUUAAUCGGAAUUACUGGGCGUAAAGCGCACGCAGGCGGUCUGUCAAGUCGGAUGUGAAAUCCCCGGGCUCAACCUGGGAACUGCAUUCGAAACUGGCAGGCUUGAGUCUCGUAGAGGGGGGUAGAAUUCCAGGUGUAGCGGUGAAAUGCGUAGAGAUCUGGAGGAAUACCGGUGGCGAAGGCGGCCCCCUGGACGAAGACUGACGCUCAGGUGCGAAAGCGUGGGGAGCAAACAGGAUUAGAUACCCUGGUAGUCCACGCCGUAAACGAUGUCUAUUUGGAGGUUGUGCCCUUGAGGCGUGGCUUCCGGAGCUAACGCGUUAAAUAGACCGCCUGGGGAGUACGGCCGCAAGGUUAAAACUCAAAUGAAUUGACGGGGGCCCGCACAAGCGGUGGAGCAUGUGGUUUAAUUCGAUGCAACGCGAAGAACCUUACCUGGUCUUGACAUCCACAGAAUUUCUCAGAGAUGAGGAAGUGCCUUCGGGAACUGUGAGACAGGUGCUGCAUGGCUGUCGUCAGCUCGUGUUGUGAAAUGUUGGGUUAAGUCCCGCAACGAGCGCAACCCUUAUCCUUUGUUGCCAGCGAUUCGGUCGGGAACUCAAAGGAGACUGCCAGUGAUAAACUGGAGGAAGGUGGGGAUGACGUCAAGUCAUCAUGGCCCUUACGACCAGGGCUACACACGUGCUACAAUGGCAUAUACAAAGAGAAGCGACCUCGCGAGAGCAAGCGGACCUCAUAAAGUAUGUCGUAGUCCGGAUUGGAGUCUGCAACUCGACUCCAUGAAGUCGGAAUCGCUAGUAAUCGUGGAUCAGAAUGCCACGGUGAAUACGUUCCCGGGCCUUGUACACACCGCCCGUCACACCAUGGGAGUGGGUUGCAAAAGAAGUAGGUAGCUUAACCUUCGGGAGGGCGCUUACCACUUUGUGAUUCAUGACUGGGGUGAAGUCGUAACAAGGUAACCGUAGGGGAACCUGCGGUUGGAUCACCUCCUU